AAAAAAAUCAUUGCCGUGUUAAUUUUCUUCCUUCGGCCUUCGAGUGAGUCAAAAGCAGCAACGAUGUAUCAUCCGACCAGAGGUGGCGUCCGCGGCGGCCGAGAUCAAUUUAGCUGGGAUGAUGUUAAGGUUGAUAAACAUCGGGAGAAUUAUCUUGGUCACAGUAUUAAGGCCGCUGUUGGAAGAUGGCAAAAAGGGAAAGAUCUGCACUGGUACACCAGGGACAAAAAUUCUGAGAGUUCAAGUAAAGAUGCUUUAAAAGAAGAGAUAAAAAGAAUUAAGGAAGAGGAGGAGCAGUCCAUGAGGGAGGCACUUGGUUUAGCUCCAAAGCGUGCUAGCCGGCCUCAAGGAAAUCGACUUGAUAAACAUGAGUUUUCUGAACUUGUGAAGCGAAGCUCUACAGCAGAGGAUUUGGGAGCGGGGCAUGCUGAAGCUGCACGUGUCCAUGGUCUUGGUUUCUCAAGAGCACCCCGUCCUUGGGAAGACCCAAGUACACUUCCUUCUAAACACAAGGAAGUUUCACCUGAGCCGGUGAAGGAGGCUGUGCCUGAUUCAUUACCAAGCAACUCUCGAGAAGAUGAAUCAGAUGGUGAAAGCAGCCGAAAGAAGAGGAGGCAUGAGGAGAAGAAACUUGAGAAGGAGAAGAAAAAUGAGAAACGUGAAAGGCGUGAGAAACGGCGUUCACAUGAUUCGGAUGACAGAAAAAAACACAAGAAAGACAAGAAGAGGAGGCAUGACUCUGAGUCUGACUGAAUAAACAUUUGAAUGUUGUAGCUCCUUCUAUUUUAUAAUACAUUACAAAUUAACUUUUGUUUUAUACUACACUUCUCCUUGAGCCGCAAUGCUGCUUGAGAGUUGAGAUUAUUUAAUGGUUUGGCCUGUAAUGAAGUUCGUCAUACAAAAGCCUACUGGGAGCAGGAAAAAAAUUUAUGGUCACAAAACUCGGAAUGUGAAAGGCUUCAUUUGGGGAUCCUUCAAAUUGAAAGGUUUUGUUGUUAAAAA
Molecule: unclassified non-coding RNA, 1002 nt
Filed under: Hevea brasiliensis (rubber tree)
Lineage: Eukaryota; Viridiplantae; Streptophyta; Magnoliopsida; Malpighiales; Euphorbiaceae
Source: RNAcentral